GUGUCAGCAGCCGCGGUAAUACAGAGGGUGCAAGCGUUAAUCGGAAUUACUGGGCGUAAAGCGAGCGUAGGUGGCUUGAUAAGUCAGAUGUGAAAUCCCCGGGCUUAACCUGGGAACUGCAUCUGAUACUGUUAAGCUGGAGUAGGUGAGAGGGAAGUAGAAUUCCAGGUGUAGCGGUGAAAUGCGUAGAGAUCUGGAGGAAUACCGAUGGCGAAGGCAGCUUCCUGGCAUCAUACUGACACUGAGGCUCGAAAGCGUGGGUAGCAAACAGGAUUAGAAACCCUUGUAGUCC
Molecule: ribosomal RNA, 292 nt
Filed under: uncultured prokaryote
Description: partial 16S ribosomal RNA
Rfam family: Bacterial small subunit ribosomal RNA
Source: RNAcentral